Molecule: long non-coding RNA, 2624 nt
Organism: Oncorhynchus tshawytscha (Chinook salmon)
Lineage: Eukaryota; Metazoa; Chordata; Actinopteri; Salmoniformes; Salmonidae
Source: Ensembl
ACAAACACACACACAGCAUCCUAAUUUAUCUCUGAUAAAAGCCAGUUUCGUUAUGGUGAGAUUAAUUCAUUAAAAAAACGAAUGCUUUAGAUGUAAAAUUUGUAUGAAUAUAAAUAACAAGGGUGAAAUUCUUUGUUGCAUGGGUGAGUUUUGGUCAAAACUGACAGCACAAGAGGCAAAAUCAACGCAAUCUCUAAAGAAAAUGCCAUACCUGACCAUUACUGUAAUUUGAAUGCAGAUGAAAAUAGAAAAUAUUGGCAAUAUUUCUAGUUGGAAGGGAUACGAUUGAAAAUAGUAUGAGUGGCUACAAAUAAUUGUCCUCUCUUUACCAGUAUAGGCUGACCGUGUAUGUGUGAUACGUAAUGAGGAUAGUCCAUGUUUACCACAAUAUGGAAGGCUGGUGAUUUAGAUAAGCCUACUCAUGAUCUAGCUCUAAUAUGAAUUCUAACGUGUCAGACAGAAAUAUGCAUUACGCAUUCGAUAAUUGAUUGACGGACCACAUUAAGAUUAGAAUGGUUUUGUCUUUCGGAAAUAUAGAUUCGAAGUAUAGGCCUAUAUGAUUUUUUUAUAUUUGCUAAAUGUCAACAGUUUCUUCUCUUUCAUCACAUUCCUCCAUCUUAGGUAUAUGAUACUGGAAUACAUUUGACAUUUUAGUCAUUUAGCAGAGCCUUGCUCAAGGGGCGGCAGGGUAGCCUAGUGGUUAGAGUGUUGUUCUAGCACCCGGAAAGUUGCAAGUCAAACCCCCGAGGUGACAAAUUACAAAUCUGUCGUUCUGCCCCUAAACGGGUAGUUAACCCACUGUUCCUAGGCCGUCAUUGAAAAUAAGAAUUUGUUCUUAACUCACUUGCCUAGUUAAAUAAAGGUUAAGAAAAAGGGGCACAUCGCCAGAAUUUGCGGCUCGAGGAUUCGAACCAGCGACUUUUCGUUAGGCCCAACGCUACUGGCCCAACGCUCUUAUUGGCUACAAGUAUUCAAUGGCUAUCCAUUUUGACAGCUAUCCUUGGCAAUUCAAAUGACAAAUAGGUAGCCUAAUUGCUUUUGUCUCAAAAAAAUGUCUAAAUUCAAAUAGCUCUCAUUUUUCUAAAUGUUGCUAUAGACCUUGUUCGGCCUGUAGCUCAAGACUAAGUUGUAAAUAUGUAUUAUUAGUGUGAUUGGAAAUUGGAACCGCACUUUAUGCUUAUCUAGGUCACAUAUAGCUGCCAUUCCUCAUUGUACAUAUUGAUCCAAGUGCGUCACACUAUUCAAUUAUAGCCUACAAAUUCGCAAAAUGUGGUUAGGUUUUAAAGUGGCAAAAGCAAUACUUAAUGUGCAAUAAUCCUAGAACGUUGUAGCCUAUGCAUGCAACCCCAUGUGUGUUUGUCAAGACAAAUUACUUGUAGAUCCAUGACAGCAUGCAGCCUCUUCGGAGGGAAACAAUUUUUACGUGUGCCCGUCUGACCACUUCUAUUGGGUGACACAUCAGACGAGCAGUUUGGGAGCAAGGUUCACUUGUGGAGGAGGCUGAGUUACACGAGUAGGGAGUACAGCAUCUCCAACCGGCUCGCACAAUCAAUUGCGCUGGAAAAUUGGCGUCGACUUGAUUGAGAGCGCGUGCAUAGCCUGCCAGGAAGAUUUGAAUGGUGAUGUAAAAUAUAAGGGGUUGGAGAAAUAUGGCCCUGAUUCCCCUGCUUAGGAGAGAGGCCAAGUGGACAUGUCUGUCUGGGACUUUGCCUACUGCUGAACCAACAUGAGCUCAGGUGAGAGAGGAGUCAUCGGGAGCCAGACAGAGAGUACCAGGAUAACGGCUGUGUCCAUGUGUUAAGGAUGACCCACAGAUCACAGAGGAGAAAAACACCUGAGUCAAUCAGGAGAGACCCAGAAGGAGAGACCCAGAAGGAGAGACCCAGAAGGAGAGACCCAGAAGGAGAGACCCAGAAGGAGAGACCCAGAAGGAGAGACCCAGAAGGAGAGACCCAGAAGGAGAGACCCAGAAGGAGAGACCCAGAAGGAGAGACCCAGAAGGAGAGACCCAGAAGGAGAGAUCCAGAACAUAUUCAGUAACAUAUCAUCACAGACAUUCUGUGAAAUCCAGUAUCCAGUAUGAAUCGUCACCAUGUGUAUUUGGGGCAAUUCAGGUUAUUUUAAUUUAGUGAUACCAAUUUGUGCCUAAAUCGCAUGCUGCCUCUUUAUCAUGUAGAUAUAUUAUUAAAUAGAUUUUUUCCAACAUUUCUUGAUGAUCUUUAUUUAUUAUAUUUUUUUAAUGAUCAUUUAUUUUGUGUACCUGUUUGACAUUUUAUUGCAUUGAUAGGAGCUAGUAACAUAAGGAUUUCACUGCACCCUGCUGUAUGCAACCAAUCAACUUUGAUUUGGGCUGCAGGUAGCCUAGUGGUUAAGAGCAUUGGGCCAAUACCUGAAAGAUUGCUGGUUUGAAUCCCAGAGACGACUAGGUGAAACCCUAAUUGCUUAUGUAAGUCGCUCUGGGUAAGAGUGUCUGCUAAAUGACUCAAAUGUAUUAAAAAAAAGAUUUGAUUUGAAGUGAAGUGAUGCAUAUUUAUCCUGAUGGUCUAUUUUGAGCAAAUAAACCAAGACUGAGACCAUGCCAACUGAAUAGCUGAAUGUUGUGCUGUUGGUCGCUCUGACCUGAU